Salvia splendens (bonfire salvia) is the source of this 4785-nucleotide long non-coding RNA. RefSeq lists it as uncharacterized. The transcript has 4 exons. The record is from RefSeq and is a predicted model, not a curated record. Lineage: Eukaryota; Viridiplantae; Streptophyta; Magnoliopsida; Lamiales; Lamiaceae.
GACUUAUAAGUAAACAAAUUAAUAAUCUUUUAAGGGAAAAGAAUAACUCUUCUAACUCAGAAAGUGAGUCCGAUCAAGAAAUGGAAGAGAUGCAAAAUACCUCUGACGAAAGUAGUUAUCAUAGUAGUAUUGAACAUGGAAAAGAUAUUUGCAAAAAUUGUAUCCAAGUCAUUUCUAAAGAAAAGAAAGAAGUCAUCUUUGAUCUUAUCCAAGAAAUCCCAGAUACCGAUAUAAGGGAUGGUUACCUUAAUAAGUUAAAAGAUUGAAUUCUUGAAGAACCCUCUACUUCUAAGAAGAUAAACAUCAAUGAACAAUUUAGUCUAAAUAAGCUUUGGGAUAAAUAUCCCUACCAAAGCAUAUCUAAACAAAUAACAACAAAAGACCUCCAAAGUGAAAUUAAUAGCCUUAAAAAACAAAUUAAUAAAGAAUUUUAUGAAUUAAAAGAAAAAGACUUUGAAAUAGAGACAAGACUCUCUAUUAUUGAAAAUAAUAAAGAAAUUAAUAACUGGAAGAAUCUUGAUCCAGAAAAUAAUUCUAUAAAAGUUAUCCGAGAAAUUGAAUAUAAAAAAUGACAUGCUAAUAUCACUCUUGCUGUUAAUGACUUCAAAACCAGUAUUAUGGCCUUAGUUGAUUCAAGAGCAGACCAUAAUAUUAUCAGAGAAGGAAUAGUCCCUACUAAAUACUGCGACAAAUCCAAAGAAAAACUUUAUACUGCUAAUAAUAACCUAUUAAAAAUCAAAUACAAACUUUCCAAAGCUCACAUCUGUAACAAUGGUCAUUGCUUCAAGAAUAUCUUUACUAUUGUUGAAGAUAUCACAUAUAAUAUGAUUCUUGGAACGCCUUUCCUAACUCAAAUUUAUCCUUUCUAUGUCAAUGAUAGUGAUAUUACUACUAAGGUUCAAGGAAGAGAAAUAAAUUAUAAAUUCAUCUUUCCCAUUAAGAAGCAAGAAAUUCUUAAUCUUCAGAAUAACUCUAUACUCAGACAUAUUAAUAAUAUUACCCAAAAACAAAAACAAAAACAAAUUAGUUUUCUAAAAGAAGAAUUACCUUUUCAACGAAUUGAAGACCAACUUAGAACUCCUAAGAUUAUCUCAAAAAUUAAGGAAAUUGAAAAUAACUUUGUCAAACGAGUUUGUAAUGAAAUCCCAAAUGCCUUUUGGGAUAGAAAACACCAUGUCAUUGAAUUACCUUAUGAAAAGGGUUUCAAUGAAGAAAAUAUCCCGACAAAAUCGAGACCUAUCGAAAUGAACCAGGAACUCUAAGAAAUUUGUAAAAAGGAGAUUAAAGAAUUAUUAGAUAAGAAACUUAUAAGACCUUCAAAAUCUCCUUGGAGUUGUUCAGCCUUCUGUGUAAUUAAACAAGCAGAACUUGAAAGAGGAACACCUAGGCUGGUCAUAAAUUACAAACCCCUUAAUAAAGUUCUACAAUGGAUUAGGUAUCCUAUCCCCAACAAAAGGGAUUUAAUAGGAAGACUAUUUAAUACUAUUUUUUCCAAGUUCGACCUCAAGUCUGGAUUUUGGCAAAUCCAAAUCUCUGAAAAGGAUAGAUAUAAAACAGCCUUCACAGUUCCUUUCGGACAUUAUGAAUGGAAUGUCAUGCCUUUUGGCCUAAAAAAUGCCCCUUCAGAAUUUCAAAAAAUCAUGAAUGAUAUCAUGAAUCCUCUUAGUCAUUUUAGUAUUGUCUAUAUCGACAAUAUUCUAAUCAUCUCCCAAGAUAUUGAUCAACAUAUCAAACAUUUAGACACUCUCUUAAAAACCAUAGAGAAAAAUGGAUUAGCUAUAUCCACCCCCAAAUUAAAAUUAUUUCAAACCAAUAUCAGAUUUUUAGGACAUGAAAUUAGUAAAUGAACUUUCAAACCUAUCAGUAGGUCGAUUUCCUUUACAGACAAAUUCCUGAUGAAAUCAAAGAUAAAAAUCAAUUACAAAGAUUCUUAGGAUGCCUGAAUUACAUUUCAGAUUUCUUUCCUAAUCUUAGGGAGUCAUGUAAACUUCUUUAUCAAAGGCUUAGAAAAAACCCCCCUAAUUGGACAGAAGAACACACUAAUACUAUCAAAACCAUAAAACAAGAAGUAAAAACUCUUCCGUGCGUAGGCAUCCCUAAUCCAAAAGCCUUUAUGAUCAUAGAAACAGAUGCCUCAAAUCUAGGUUAUGGAGGAAUUUUAAAACAAAGAAUUGACUCAAAAGAACAAUUAGUAAGAUACCGCUCAGGAAUAUGGAAUGAUACACAGAUUAAUUAUUCUACAAUUAAAAAAGAAAUUCUGUCAAUAGUUUUGUGUAUCUCAAAAUUUCAAGACGACCUUUACAAUAAAAAGUUUAUACUUAGGAUUGAUUGCAAAUUAGCAAAAGAAGUUCUUGUUAAAGAUGUUCAAAAUAUUGUUUCAAAACAAAUUUUUGCAAGAUGGCAAGUUAUACUUUCCAUUUUUUACUUCGAAAUAGAGUAUAUCAAAGGAGAAAAUAAUUUUUUACCAGACUUUCUAACAAGAGAAUUCUUACAAGGAACCAGCGAUGGAUCCAGCGAAAAAGAAGAUUCAAAGUGCAAAAGACUAUGAAAUUCAUGAUUCAAAAGCAGUAGCCUUAACUCCUUUCCCAACUACACCUCAAAAACAGAUUGUCCCAAAUAAGUUUUCUCCUCUACAACUUAGACCUGAAAUCCCGUUCAAAAGUGUGCUUGCUUCAAACCCGCCAAAACCUACAAAUAUCCAAAUUCCAAACCCUCCAUAACAAUUCCAAAAAUAUCUUACAAAAGAUUGGUUCGAGGAUAUCGGAAUGACUCCUCACACCGAUUAUCCCACGGACCUUAUUCAAAAAGAUUUUAUCCGAGCCAGAUUUCAAAACCCAGCUCAGCUGUGGGAAUCGGAUAAUUUCUUAAAAGAUCAAAGAUAUUAUGAGUUAAUUCUUGUAGACUCACAUUCUAUAGAAAUAACUCAGAACCCUUCAAGUUCAAAUGAAAUUAGUUUUUCAAAAUGUGUGAUUAGAAAGAUCCAUACUAUUACUACUUUUGGAGGAUUUAAAGAAUUCAAAAUUUUUUCAGUCCGUCACCCGGCAAAAGGAUUCAAUUAUAUUGAUUACAAAAAUGCUUGGUUUCAAGCCUUUUUUAUCAGACCUUUUAACCAUUCGUGGUUUUUUACCUACCACUCAGACAUAGACAAACAUUUUCCCAUAUGGUUCUUUGACUGGUGGAGAAAAUUUGGAUCCAAUAUCCAAAUCACGCCACCCUCUGUUCAAAAAGGUUUUGAAGUCUUUUCGGAAAAUUCAAACCUUUCUUUAUAUCAAAAACCCUUGAUGUUCCAUGCAGAAUUCAAAGUACCUUGGAUUUUUGCCUGGGAUUUUCACUUUAAGAAAAUCUAUCCAGACCCAACUCCCUUUUCUUUAGUUAGAAUUUUCAAAAUCAAAUGGUGGAAUAAAUUUCAGGAGAAUAUUUGUUCCAAACAUGCUGUUAGACAAUUUUUGUCUACAUGACAAAAAGUUACUUACAAAAAGGGAGACGUCAAAAAAGAGAACCCCAGUUAUAGUUCCAAAGCCUUUGAGGAUUCAAAGUUCAUGAAUAUGCCAGAAGAAAUGAAGAAGGAAUUUUUUGAAUUCCUUGCUCAAAGGUCCAAUUCUACCAAGUCAAAGUCAGAAGAAUCAGUUUCCUCUGAUCCAAUAAGAGAACAAGAUCCUUUUGAUUUCCAGGACCCGUACAAUUUUUAAAGAUGGCUAUGAAGAGUUUGUAGAGGUUCAAAGAAGGAUUAAGAUUAUUAAACAAUUAAAUCAGAAGGAUUCAUAUUCCACUCGCUGCUUAGGAUGCCGAGAAGGAACGCCUUAUAUAAUCGUGAUCAUGGUAUAGAGAUAAAAAUAUUAGAAGCAGGGAUCAAAGAGCAAAGAAGAAGAAUAAGAGUUUUCUAUAAAAUCAGACGACGCAGAAACAGAUCUUUUUGUUGGGAUAAUGAUGAAGAUUGGCAAAGAGAGCAAAUUAUUGAAAAAUGCAAAAGGAGAAUCAGAAUUAUCCAUAUAAUACUUGCUGCCUAGCGGUCAUGACCAAUGUCUCAAAAUUCAAAAUCAAAAGUUGCUUACCACGAGAUCAAAAGUUGUCAAGAUAAGGAUGCCACAAUUUUCAAGAGAGUUCACCAAAAGACAAAAGUUGCCUCCAAAGGGGACCACCACUUCCCGAGACGAUCUGCACGUAGCCUUUAUUGUAAUCUUUUGCAAUAUAAUAUUAUGUAAUAGUUAACUUUGUAGCUCUAUAAAUAGCUUGUAAAUUAAGGAGAAAGGGCACACCGGUCUUAGAGUUUUCAGACCAUUGCUCUCUUCCUCCUCCCUCUGUAACCCUUGAAGUUUUUAAGCCACAAUUUGAGUCAUGGGUCAAUACUGUGUUGAAGCUUCAUCAAGGUCGAUUUGUUGAGGGCAUGGUCAUUAAUUUUGAUACAUAUAUCAAGAAGAGUUCAAUUCGAUCACGGAAGAUGAUGCAGUUCACAAUUGGGCGUACUUUGCUAUGAAUAAGGAAGUUCAAAGAUUUACAAUGACUAAAAGAGGCCGUCCGUCGCGCCCUCAACCUACACACACUGCAGCAGAGAAGCAACUAAGACUGGACAUCGACGAAGCAGUUGAUGAUGUAAUUCCAGUUGCACUAGCGCAGAAAUUCAGGGAAAGAUUGGUCGGGGCCGUGCCAAGCACAGCUCUAGAAGAGGGUGACCAAAAGAAACCCAGGGGGAGAAAGGUCAACCUUCUCUAUUGUCGACGAACCCCGUCUGAGUUUCUAAACUGUAGUAUAUUAUUAAUGUACAUUCCAUUAAUUGCGUGUGCAUAA